GCCGAAGUGGCGGAAUUGGCAGACGCGCUGGAUUCAAAAUCCAGUUGGUGCAAACCAGUGUGGGUUCGAGUCCCACCUUCGGUAC
Molecule: transfer RNA, 85 nt
Filed under: Rubripirellula lacrimiformis
Lineage: Bacteria; Pseudomonadati; Planctomycetota; Planctomycetia; Pirellulales; Pirellulaceae
Description: Planctomycetes bacterium K22_7 tRNA-Leu
Rfam family: tRNA
About the family: Transfer RNA (tRNA) molecules are approximately 80 nucleotides in length. Their secondary structure includes four short double-helical elements and three loops (D, anti-codon, and T loops).
Source: RNAcentral